Cercocebus atys (sooty mangabey) is the source of this 1284-nucleotide RNA transcript. It is a transcript of the gene named integrin-alpha FG-GAP repeat-containing protein 2 pseudogene, with no coding region annotated. The transcript has a single exon. The record is from RefSeq and is a predicted model, not a curated record. Lineage: Eukaryota; Metazoa; Chordata; Mammalia; Primates; Cercopithecidae.
CGGAGAUGGAUGUUGUGAGUGGUGGUGGGCUACACAGACUGUGUGGUGCGAGUUUUCUGCUGGGAGGAGCUAGGUGAGGGUCCUGAACAUCUGACCGGGCAGCUGGUGUCCCUCAAGAAAUGGAUGCUAGAGGGUCAGGUGGACAGCCUGUCAGUGACUUUGGGGCCGCUGGGUGUUCCUGAACUGAUGGUGUCUUAGCCAGGCUGUGCUUAUGCAAUUCUACUGUGUACGUGGAAAAAGGACACAGGGUCCUCUCCUGCCUCUGAAGGGAUCAUGGAUGGCAGUAGGGAGGCCCCAGCUGCCCGAGAUGUGGUGCUGCACCAGACAUCUGGCCGUAUCCACAACAAGAAUGUCUCCACUCACGUAAUUGGCAACAACUCUCAAGGCCAUGGCACUGAGAGUGGUGGCUCUGGCGUCUUUGCCGUGAGCACACUGGAUGGGAUGCUGAAGCUCAUGGAGGAAGCAGACAGGCUGCUGUGGUCAGUGCAGGUGGAUCACCAGCUUUUCGCCCUGGAGAAAUUGGAUGUCACCGGCAACGGGCAUGAGGAGGUAGUCACAUGUACCUGGGAUGGACAGGCAUAUGUUAUUGAUCACAACCUCACUGUCAUCCGCUUCCAAGUGAAUGAAAAUAUCUGUGCCUUCUGUGCAGGCCUGUACGCCUGCAGGGGGAUGCAACAGCUCCUGUCUCAUAUAUGUCACUUUCAACCAGAAGAUUUAUGUGUACUGGGAGGUGCAGUUGGAGUGGAUAGAGUCUACCAAUCUUCUGAACAACUGGAGACCAGGCCCGAGUACCACAGCCUGCUGCAGGAGCUGAGCGUGGAUCCUGACAACCUCCCUGUGGCUCAUGCCCUGCUUCACCAAACUCUCUGCCAUCUGACCAACCAUCACAGUUGUGUUCCCUCAAGCCUCCAGGAUCCCACCUAGCUGUACUUGCCUCAUAGCUGAUGAAGGAUUCUUCUGAACCCCUACCCUACCCCGUCAAGGUAUGUGUUAUAUUGGCAGGAUAGGGAAUAUGCAUUACAGAAGUACAGGAUUUGACAUUGGGCAUGAAAGAUGGCGCAGCCCUAGGGUGACCACAAGCUAUACACCUCACGGUCUUUUUGAUGAAAGAAGAGACAAGUUGACCCUCUGCCCAUUUUCUUAUGGACCUCACCCUUCACACCAGCAAGGUCAUAGGACCGUGGCCUUGUUCCAAAUCAUCUGGGACAUGUCCUGCUCUCCACUUGCACUGUGUAGGAAACAGAGACUUGUUUGUGUAUCCCCAAUACCCAUAAGGAAGCCAGG